AACAUCAUAAUAUUCAGUAUGUUAAAGUAAGUGUUAUAAAAGUGGGUAGGAAUUGUGCUUGAUAUUCGAGUGAUGAAGACAUAAUCGUUCAAUCAGUUUACAGCCGAUUGCAGGUUAGGUAAACUGCCAUCCUUUAAGAGUAUACAAGUCCGAUUAUAGCCAAUUUACAUGUCUGUAAGUCUAGACUAAUUCGAAAGGAGGGUAGUAUACCUUACAUAAUAACGACUUUACGGUUCAGCUA
This 241-nucleotide long non-coding RNA is filed under the name Mytilus galloprovincialis (Mediterranean mussel). The record is from RNAcentral. Lineage: Eukaryota; Metazoa; Mollusca; Bivalvia; Mytilida; Mytilidae.